UGCUUUUUUGCUGAGAGUGGCGGACGGGUGAGUAAUGCUUGGGAAUCUGGCUUAUGGAGGGGGAUAACUGUGGGAAACUGCAGCUAAUACCGCGUAUUCUCUGAGGAGGAAAGGGUGGGACCUUAGGGCCACCUGCCAUAAGAUGAGCCCAAGUGGGAUUAGGUAGUUGGUGGGGUAAAGGCCUAUCAAGCCUGCGAUCUCUAGCUGGUCUGAGAGGAUGACCAGCCACACUGGAACUGAGACACGGUCCAGACUCCUACGGGAGGCAGCAGUGGGGAAUAUUGCGCAAUGGGGGGAACCCUGACGCAGCCAUGCCGCGUGAAUGAAGAAGGCCUUCGGGUUGUAAAGUUCUUUCGGUAAUGAGGAAGGGAUGUUGUUAAAUAGAUAGCAUCAUUGACGUUAAUUACAGAAGAAGCACCGGCUAACUCCGUGCCAGCAGCCGCGGUAAUACGGAGGGUGCGAGCGUUAAUCGGAAUAACUGGGCGUAAAGGGCACGCAGGCGGACUUUUAAGUGAGAUGUGAAAUCCCCGAGCUUAACUUGGGAACUGCAUUUCAGACUGGGAGUCUAGAGUACUUUAGGGAGGGGUAGAACUCCACGUGUAGCGGUGAAAUGCGUAGAGAUGUGGAGGAAUACCGAAGGCGAAGGCAGCCCCUUGGGAAUGUACUGACGCUCAUGUGCGAAAGCG
This 686-nucleotide ribosomal RNA is filed under the name uncultured Pasteurella sp. Its description in RNAcentral is "bacterial SSU rRNA". It matches the Rfam family "Bacterial small subunit ribosomal RNA", at positions 79 to 761 of the family's 1533-position model. Lineage: Bacteria; Pseudomonadati; Pseudomonadota; Gammaproteobacteria; Pasteurellales; Pasteurellaceae. The record is from RNAcentral.